UACGUAGGGGGCAAGCGUUGUCCGGAAUCAUUGGGCGUAAAGCGCGUGUAGGCGGCUCGAUAAGUCUGCUGUGAAAGUUCAGGGCUCAACCCUGAAAUGCCGGUGGAAACUGUCGAGCUAGAGUCCGGAAGAGGCGAGUGGAAUUCCUGGUGUAGCGGUGAAAUGCGCAGAUAUCAGGAGGAACACCAAUGGCGAAGGCAGCUCGCUGGGACGGUACUGACGCUGAGACGCGAAAGCGUGGGGAGCGAACCGG
RNAcentral lists this ribosomal RNA (253 nucleotides) under uncultured bacterium. RNAcentral's name for it is "partial 16S ribosomal RNA". It matches the Rfam family "Bacterial small subunit ribosomal RNA", at positions 524 to 776 of the family's 1533-position model. The record is from RNAcentral.